RNAcentral lists this ribosomal RNA (495 nucleotides) under uncultured bacterium. Its description in RNAcentral is "partial 16S ribosomal RNA". It matches the Rfam family "Bacterial small subunit ribosomal RNA", at positions 30 to 523 of the family's 1533-position model. The record is from RNAcentral.
AUUGAACGCUGGCGGAAUGCUUUACACAUGCAAGUCGAACGGUAGAGGGGGCAACCCCUCGAGAGUGGCGAACGGGUGAGUAAUAUAUCGGAACGUGCCCAGUCGUGGGGGAUAACGUAGCGAAAGUUACGCUAAUACCGCAUACGAUCUAAGGAUGAAAGCGGGGAUCGCAAGACCUCGCGCGCUUGGAGCGGCCGAUAUCAGAUUAGGUAGGUGGUGGGGUAAAGGCUCACCAAGCCAACGAUCUGUAGCUGGUCUGAGAGAACGACCAGCCACACUGGAACUGAGAAACGGUCCAGACUCCUACGGGAGGCAGCAGUGGGGAAUUUUGGACAAUGGACGCAAGUCUGAUCCAGCCAUUCCGCGUGCAGGAUGAAGGCUCUCGGGUUGUAAACUGCUUUUGUACGGAACGAAAAGGUCUCUCUUAAUACGGGGGACUCAUGACGGUACCGUAAGAAUAAGCACCGGCUAACUACGUGCCAGCCGCCGCGGUAA